UUUUUUUUUUUUUCUUUAGCUUGGUGAUGAAUACAUGAAGAUAUUUUUAUUCGUUCAACCACUUUUUUAAUGGUGUUCCAUACCGAUACAUUUUGACACGCAGUACCGUUUCGGUUUAUAUACAAAAUUCUAAUUCGGUUCGGUUCGGUUCGGUUCAAAUAUAUAAUCUAACGGGCCUAUUUCGGUACCUUGCAAAUAUAUGGCCCAACGAUGUUGCGGAACAAAAGGGUAAUCUUGGAAUGUGACAGUGAUUCUCGUGAAUUGCUAAAACACUUAAAAGACAAUAUCUCAUCUCACGACACGUCGCCAGCUCUGGAACUUCGGACCGUCCGAUCAACUGCGCUUUUAACUUUUUGCUAAUCUUCGUUUUUGUCCUUGGAUCGGUCGAUAUUUGUAUUAACACCCCAAAAACUUCUGAGUCGAUACCAAACACCCAGAGAUCGUUUCUUUCGUUUGCGUUUGCUCACUCCUCCACGAUGUUUAGUCGUACCUCUUGAAAGCUUUGACGGAGCUAUAGAAUAGAGCCAUUUUCAGGCAAUGCAGCUACGUGUUGGACCAAGAUCAAAGAGUUCGAACCACUCGGUAGAUGAUACCAUGAACUACCAAAACAUGACUUUCUCUUACCUGAACUCGUAGAAACCUUAAAAGAAAAUGAAGAAGAUUGGUUUAGGAGCUUCACCAGAUGGAGUCGUUCACGUGGUUAGAGUGGUGUUCUUGAAGAAGAUUCCUUGGUACUAUGUUAUGGAUAAGAGAUUGGUUGGAUUUGUAUUGUUGGACUGUUAAUGGGAGUAGUUUGUUUAGGAUUGAAAGAGAUUUUGUGUUUUGGGGAGAUGUGUAACACUUGUUGAUUUUUGGGUGAACCAUGUUGUGCCUGGGAGAGAUGUUCAAGAGUUGUGUUGUAACGGAUCCUUUUUAGUGGAUCAACUGUAAGCGUUUCUUUUUAUGAAAUUAAUGGACAAAUUCUAGAUUGAUA
This is a non-coding RNA of Camelina sativa (false flax), 973 nucleotides long. The record is from RefSeq and is a predicted model, not a curated record. Lineage: Eukaryota; Viridiplantae; Streptophyta; Magnoliopsida; Brassicales; Brassicaceae.